RNAcentral lists this transfer RNA (67 nucleotides) under Ictidomys tridecemlineatus (thirteen-lined ground squirrel). Its description in RNAcentral is "Spermophilus tridecemlineatus (thirteen-lined ground squirrel) tRNA". It matches the Rfam family "tRNA". From Rfam's summary of the family: Transfer RNA (tRNA) molecules are approximately 80 nucleotides in length. Their secondary structure includes four short double-helical elements and three loops (D, anti-codon, and T loops). The record is from Rfam by way of RNAcentral. RNAcentral also lists the same sequence under 1 other name. Lineage: Eukaryota; Metazoa; Chordata; Mammalia; Rodentia; Sciuridae.
UGCAGCUCAGUGGCAGAGUACUUGCCUAGCACACAUGUGGCCCUGGGUUCAAUCCCCAGUACUGCAA